This is a long non-coding RNA of Carassius auratus (goldfish), 420 nucleotides long. RefSeq lists it as uncharacterized. NCBI's taxonomy places the organism in Eukaryota, Metazoa, Chordata, Actinopteri, Cypriniformes, Cyprinidae. The record is from RefSeq and is a predicted model, not a curated record. The transcript is spliced from 3 exons.
CGAAAAGGCACCAAGAGUCGGGGGCGGAAAAAAGAAAAAAGAAGAGACAGCGGGAUGAUGAUCGCGCGUCGUUUGUAGGACGGGGGUGGAUGUCCCUGGGCUUCACAGCUGAAGGUGACCUCCCUGCUGGGCUCAUUAAGAUGGAGAGGGAAUACAAUACUUCCUGGCUGUUUGGUGAAUACUGGCCUCAGAGGACCACUGCCUUCUAAAGAAUAAUUCCACAACAUGACACAACCUGGUGGCGGAGAAAAGAGUGCUUUCAAAAAUCCCUCGCAGCAGGAGUGAAGAUCAUGCAAAAGAGCAAACAGCCUUUUUAAAUCAAAGACUUAAAAGUGAGAGGAUUAAGUCUUACCCUCCCAGUGACUGAAAGACAAUGUAACUGCUUCAUCAAAAAGAGAUCAAUAAAGGGGCUUUUGUGCU